GCCUUCGUGGUCAAAACGCUGGGCGCGUAUUCCAGAGGUCCGUGGUUCGAGUCCCGGCGAAGGCA
This 65-nucleotide transfer RNA is filed under the name Stegodyphus mimosarum. It matches the Rfam family "tRNA". Rfam says of the family: Transfer RNA (tRNA) molecules are approximately 80 nucleotides in length. Their secondary structure includes four short double-helical elements and three loops (D, anti-codon, and T loops). Further hydrogen bonds mediate the characteristic L-shaped molecular structure. tRNAs have two regions of fundamental functional importance: the anti-codon, which is responsible for specific mRNA codon recognition, and the 3' end, to which the tRNAs corresponding amino acid is attached (by aminoacyl-tRNA synthetases). tRNAs cope with the degeneracy of the genetic code in two manners: having more than one tRNA (with a specific anti-codon) for a particular amino acid; and 'wobble' base-pairing, i.e. permitting non-standard base-pairing at the 3rd anti-codon position. Lineage: Eukaryota; Metazoa; Arthropoda; Arachnida; Araneae; Eresidae. The record is from Rfam by way of RNAcentral.